This 1400-nucleotide long non-coding RNA is filed under the name Homo sapiens (human). RNAcentral describes it as "HSALNT0278954". The record is from RNAcentral. Lineage: Eukaryota; Metazoa; Chordata; Mammalia; Primates; Hominidae.
UAGAAGUGGUCUCACUUCUUCAUCUUUAUGCUGUAGCCUGUGCCAGAAAAGGGCCCUUUCCAAACACAAAGGACCUUUCCGGUUGGACGCCGUCCUCUGGGAGAGAGGAGCUCUGGAAAGGGAAACGGGCGGCUGCGGCCACUAGAAACCCGCUGGUCCUCACAGGUCUUGGCAGCCCAAGUGCACGGCUCUGACAGCGAUGAGAAGUACAGGAUCCCCUGACACCGUCUAGGGACAUCGGGCUGAACCAGGGGUGCAGAGUGCUGGAGGAGGGGCCUUUGGACAUCACCAACUAAAGGCUUGAUUCGGAGUGUGGCCAGGCACCACGGCCAGCCCAGCAGGACACAGGAUGCUGGAGCAGAAGAAGGCAGCGGGCCUGCCGUAAGUGCACACCUCUCCACGUGUUUCCGGUGUUUCUAUCUCUGCAGGAGAAGCGGAGGGCUGUAGUUGUCAACCUUCACCUCCGGGCCCAGCCCUCCUCAUGCACCUCUGGCAACUCCAGGGACCAAUGCUCAAACAGCUGCCUCUGACAGGACCUUGGAGCAUCAACAGCUCAGCUGGGUACACGCGAUGCAUGCAGAGCUACUAGGCACCCGUCAGAGAGCUUAGGGUCAGCUGGGUGUCCAUCAGAGAGCUCAGGGGACCCUGCAGGCAGGGCUGCCCACUGGAAAGAACUCUGCAUUUCCCAGGACCCAGUUUCUGUUGUUCAGUCACAGGCUUUCUGCACGUGAGGCAGUGCCUAAGUAUCAUUCCAGGUGGAGCACCAUUCCCCGGAAGGUGUAGGGCCACUGCACUGAUGGUGAUAUUCUAAACUCACACUUAUUCCUGGAAGCGGUUCAAAACUCAUUAGCUAGCCAGCGCGGCAGGGCUUCUACUUCCUAAUUCCAGUAAAAUCCUGGCUGCAAAUCCUCUGCUAUUGGGACACCUUUUCUUUGUUUUCAGGAAUGUUAAAGGGUCACUGCCAAGUACUCAGGCCAGAGAUUUAUGGACUUACAGGCACAAAAGUUGCUGUCAGGUCUCCGUCGAUUUGUAGACCUCAGAGUCUGCUCCACUGAGUCUGGCUCAAACUCUUAAGGGCAGAGGUGGGGACAGGGGUGGCUCCAGGGUACCGAUCCACCUGGAUGAUUCCCCUUCUGGGAGAGAGAGAGACGGGGGCUUCCAGGAGAAAAGGUCCUUUUGAGGCCAAGGCUUAGGUGGGGCACUCUCUUCCCAGUACCUUCCUCUGGGGAGUUGGGUGGUUCUUAAUGUCUCCACCAGGCAGUCACCUUCAAGGCCUGUGCAUGAUUCCAGCAGGCCCUCACAGGACCAGAGUCUGCCUCCUCUGAGGGCAAAGGCUCAGAACUCCACAGUGCUUGACUGAGAGCAACAGAGUAUGUGUCCAAAUAAAUGCUGAAUGGUGG